RNAcentral lists this ribosomal RNA (301 nucleotides) under uncultured bacterium. RNAcentral describes it as "partial 16S ribosomal RNA". It matches the Rfam family "Bacterial small subunit ribosomal RNA", at positions 509 to 807 of the family's 1533-position model. The record is from RNAcentral.
CAGUCGCCGCGGUAACACGAAGGGGGCUAGCGUUGUUCGGAAUUACUGGGCGUAAAGCGCACGUAGGCGGAUAUUUAAGUCAGGGGUGAAAUCCCAGAGCUCAACUCUGGAACUGCCUUUGAUACUGGGUAUCUUGAGUAUGGAAGAGGUGAGUGGAAUUCCGAGUGUAGAGGUGAAAUUCGUAGAUAUUCGGAGGAACACCAGUGGCGAAGGCGGCUCACUGGUCCAUCACUGACGCUGAGGCACGAAAGCGUGGGGAGCAAACAGGAUUAGAUACCCGGGUAGUCCCUGUCUCUUAUAC